AUCAACUUUCGAUGGUAGGAUAGAGGCCUACCAUGGUGGUAACGGGUAACGGGGUGUUAGGGCACGACACCGGAGAGGGAGCCUGAGAAACGGCUACCACAUCCAAGGAUGGCAGCAGGCGCGCAAAUUACCCAAUCCCGACACGGGGAGGUAGUGACAAUAAAUAACAAUACGGGGUUCUUUAGGAUCUCGUAAUUGGAAUGAGUACAAUUUAAAUCUCUUAACGAGGAACAAUUGGAGGGCAAGUCUGGUGCCAGCAGCCGCGGUAAUUCCAGCUCCAAUAGCGUAUAUUAAAGUUGUUGCAGUUAAAAAGCUCGUAGUUGAAUUUCGGGGUUAGUAGGUUGGUCAUGCCUCUGGUAUGUACUGGUCUCACUGAUUCCUCCUUCCUGAUGAACCUUAAUGCCAUUAAUUUGGUGUUUUGGGGAAUCUGGACUGUUACUUUGAAAAAAUUAGAGUGUUUAAAGCAAGCUAACGCUUGAAUACAUUAGCAUGGAAUAAUGAAAUAGGACGUUCGAUCCUAUUUUGUUGGUUUCUAGGAUUGACGUAAUGAUUAAUAGGGAUAGUUGGGGGCAUUAGUAUUCAAUUGUCAGAGGUGAAAUUCUUGGAUUUAUUGAAGACUAACUACUGCGAAAGCAUUUGCCAAGGAUGUUUUCAUUAAUCAAGAACGAAAGUUAGGGGAUCGAAGACGAUCAGAUACCGUCGUAGUCUUAACCAUAAACUAUGCCGACUAGGGAUCGGAUGAUGUUAAUUUUUUAAUGACUCAUUCGGCGCCUUACGGGAAACCAAAGUGUUUGGGUUC
Molecule: ribosomal RNA, 799 nt
Filed under: uncultured Glomeromycotina
Lineage: Eukaryota; Fungi; Glomeromycota
Description: SSU rRNA
Rfam family: Eukaryotic small subunit ribosomal RNA
Source: RNAcentral